CCUUCGGGUUGUAAAGCUCUUUCAGACCGGGAAGGAAACGGUACACGGCCUAACACCCGUGACUAAUGACGGUACCGUCAGAAGAAGCACCGGCUAACUACGUGC
Molecule: ribosomal RNA, 105 nt
Filed under: uncultured bacterium
Lineage: Bacteria
Description: partial 16S ribosomal RNA
Source: RNAcentral